GCUUGCUUUGGCAGUGCAUAUACUGAAAUUGGAAUGAUACAGAGAAGAUUAGCAUGGUCCCAUGCAAGGAUGACAUGGAAAUUCAUUAAGUGUUCCAUAUUUUU
Pogoniulus pusillus (Red-fronted tinkerbird) is the source of this 104-nucleotide small nuclear RNA. The record is from RefSeq and is a predicted model, not a curated record. Lineage: Eukaryota; Metazoa; Chordata; Aves; Piciformes; Lybiidae.